AAACAGGUUUCCGUAGGUGACCUGCGGAAGGAUCAUUA
RNAcentral lists this ribosomal RNA (38 nucleotides) under Zoanthus sansibaricus. Its description in RNAcentral is "partial 18S ribosomal RNA". Lineage: Eukaryota; Metazoa; Cnidaria; Anthozoa; Zoantharia; Zoanthidae. The record is from RNAcentral.